This 303-nucleotide ribosomal RNA is filed under the name Triticum aestivum (bread wheat). Its description in RNAcentral is "partial small subunit ribosomal RNA". The record is from RNAcentral. Lineage: Eukaryota; Viridiplantae; Streptophyta; Magnoliopsida; Poales; Poaceae.
AUGACGUCCAUUCUCCUACUAGAGGGGAUGGUGCACCAGUGCUCCUCCCAAGUGCAAUGGAGGCCACUAAUCCAGGCAAUGGGUCUUCUUGAUCACGCAUUGACCCCGUCCAGACACAAGAAGGCAGGCGAGUAUGCCGAACUGUUGCUUAUCCAGUCGAAUAGGAAGGCAGAAGGUGAGCGAAUGAAGGAGUGGGCAGAGGAUGCCUGGAAGAAUCAUAGGUUAACAUUAGCCCAAGCGUUGGAGUUUUCAGAAGCUUCAAAGCCUACAGUGGUUGAUACCCGCAUCGGCGGGGUCAUAUAG